Molecule: ribosomal RNA, 347 nt
Filed under: Oidium heveae
Lineage: Eukaryota; Fungi; Ascomycota; Leotiomycetes; Helotiales; Erysiphaceae
Description: SSU rRNA
Rfam family: Eukaryotic small subunit ribosomal RNA
Source: RNAcentral
GUAGUCAUAUGCUUGUCUCAAAGAUUAAGCCAUGCAUGUCUAAGUAUAAGCAAAUUUAUACCGUGAAACUGCGAAUGGCUCAUUAAAUCAGUUAUCGUUUAUUUGAUAGUACCUUACUACUUGAUAACCGUGGUAAUUCUAGAGCUAAUACAUGCUAAAAGCCCCGACUUCGGAAGGGGUGUAUUUAUUAGAUUAAAAACCAAUGCCCUUCGGGGCUCUUUGGUGAUUCAUAAUAACUUAACGAAUCGCAUGGCCUUGUGCCGGCGAUGGUUCAUUCAAAUUUCUGCCCUAUCAACUUUCGAUGGUAGUAUAUGGGACUACCAUGGUUUCAACGGGUAACGGGGAAU